GACGAACGCUGGCGGCGUGCUUAACACAUGCAAGUCGAACGGAAAGGCCCCUUUGGGGGUACUCGAGUGGCGAACGGGUGAGUAACACGUGAGUAACCUGCCCUUGACUUCGGGAUAACUUCAGGAAACUGGGGCUAAUACCGGAUAGGAAUCCUUGCUGCAUGGUGGGGGUUGGAAAGCUUCGGCGGUUUUGGAUGGACUCGCGGCUUAUCAGCUUGUUGGUGGGGUAGUGGCUUACCAAGGCUUUGACGGGUAGCUGGCCUGAGAGGGCGACCGGCCACAUUGGGACUGAGAUACGGCCCAGACUCCUACGGGAGGCAGCAGUGGGGAAUAUUGCACAAUGGGCGGAAGCCUGAUGCAGCAACGCCGCGGGCGGGAUGACGGCCUUCGGGUUGUAAACCGCGUUCAGCAGGGGCGAAGCUUGUGGUGACGGUACCUGCAGAAGAAGCACCGGCUAACUACGUG
RNAcentral lists this ribosomal RNA (465 nucleotides) under uncultured bacterium. RNAcentral describes it as "partial 16S ribosomal RNA". It matches the Rfam family "Bacterial small subunit ribosomal RNA", at positions 28 to 507 of the family's 1533-position model. The record is from RNAcentral.